RNAcentral lists this ribosomal RNA (496 nucleotides) under uncultured bacterium. Its description in RNAcentral is "partial 16S ribosomal RNA". It matches the Rfam family "Bacterial small subunit ribosomal RNA", at positions 28 to 506 of the family's 1533-position model. The record is from RNAcentral.
GAUGAACGCUGGCGGCGUGCCUAAUACAUGCAAGUCGAGCGAACGGACGAGAAGCUUGCUUUUCUGAUGUUAGCGGCGGACGGGUGAGUAACACGUGGAUAACCUACCUAUAAGACUGGGAUAACUUCGGGAAACCGGAGCUAAUACCGGAUAAUAUUUUGAACCGCAUGGUUCAAAAGUGAAAGACGGUCUUGCUGUCACUUAUAGAUGGAUCCGCGCUGCAUUAGCUAGUUGGUAAGGUAACGGCUUACCAAGGCAACGAUGCAUAGCCGACCUGAGAGGGUGAUCGGCCACACUGGAACUGAGAAACGGUCCAGACUCCUACGGGAGGCAGCAGUAGGGAAUCUUCCGCAAUGGGCGAAAGCCUGACGGAGCAACGCCGCGUGAGUGAUGAAGGUCUUCGGAUCGUAAAACUCUGUUAUUAGGGAAGAACAUAUGUGUAAGUAACUGUGCACAUCUUGACGGUACCUAAUCAGAAAGCCACGGCUAACUACGU